RNAcentral lists this RNase P RNA (391 nucleotides) under Bacteroidia bacterium. RNAcentral describes it as "RNase P RNA component class A". It matches the Rfam family "Bacterial RNase P class A". Rfam says of the family: Ribonuclease P (RNase P) is a ubiquitous endoribonuclease, found in archaea, bacteria and eukarya as well as chloroplasts and mitochondria. Its best characterised activity is the generation of mature 5'-ends of tRNAs by cleaving the 5'-leader elements of precursor-tRNAs. Cellular RNase Ps are ribonucleoproteins. The record is from RNAcentral. Lineage: Bacteria; Pseudomonadati; Bacteroidota; Bacteroidia.
AUGCAAAAACAGCCAAUCGCUUGGGAUUAAUGCCUAAGAGGAAAGUCCGGGCAACAUAGAGUACUGUGCUACCUAACGGGUAGGAAAUAGUGUGUAAUGCACUAUUUACAGAAAGUGCAACAGAAAACAAACCACCGAACAUAGUUCGGUAAGGGUGAAAUGGCGGUGUAAGAGACCACCGGUAUUUUAGUGAUAAAGUACGCAUGGCAAACCUCACAGGUUGCAAGGCCAAAUAGGUUACGAUGCUUGUUUUGCACAAGCAAAAUGUUACUCGCAUUUUCGUAAUGGGUAGGCUGCUAGAUUUUAACUGCGAAGUUAAAACCAGAUAAAUGAUUGGCGCAUUUAAGUAACCUUAAAUGUACAGAACCCGGCUUAUCGUUUUUGUAUAUCG